Molecule: non-coding RNA, 84 nt
Organism: Bombyx mori (domestic silkworm)
Lineage: Eukaryota; Metazoa; Arthropoda; Insecta; Lepidoptera; Bombycidae
Source: Rfam
UUAACUGAAAAUUGUGUGGAGUUGAAACGUUUUCCUACAUCUGCCGCUAGGGGCGCUGUUCCAACUGCCUACAAAUUUGAGUUA